This 825-nucleotide long non-coding RNA is filed under the name Physcomitrium patens. RNAcentral describes it as "long non-coding RNA (PPAT_LNC005641)". Lineage: Eukaryota; Viridiplantae; Streptophyta; Bryopsida; Funariales; Funariaceae. The record is from RNAcentral.
CAUUAAAGAAUCAUAAAAAAUAGUAUAGAAAUUUAAUAAUAUACUAAAAUAUAAAUCUUAAUAAAAUAUAAAAAUAAAAAUCUUAAUUAAAUCUUAAUCAAAAUCUAAUCAAAUUCUAAUCAAAUCCUAGUCAAAUCAUAACUAAAACCUAAUCAAAUUCCAAUCAAAUCCUAGUCAAAUCAUAACUAAAUCCUAAUCAAAUCCUAAUUAAAUUCUAAUCAAACUCUAAAUAAAUCCUAACCAAAUCUUAAAUAAACCAUAAUCAAAUCCUAGUCAAAUCUUAAACAAAUCUUAAAUAAAUCUUAAAUAAAUCCUAAUAAAAUUCUAAUCAAAUACUAAUAAAAUCUUUAAAAAAAUCCUAAACAAAUUCUAAAUAAAUCCUAAUCAAAUCCUAACCAAAUCCUAACCAAAUUCUAAAUAAAUCAUAAAAAAUCCUAAAUAAAUUCUAAACAAAUCAUAAAUAAAUCCUAAAUAAAUUCUAAUCAAAUUCCAAAUAAAUUCUAAUCAAAUCAUAUACAAAUUUUAACUAAAUCCUAAAUAAAUCCUAGUAAAAUCCUAAAAAAAUCCUAACAAAAUCCUAAACAAAUUCUAAACAAAUCCUAAACAAAUUCUAAACAAAUCCUAAACAAAUCCUAAUAAAAUCCUAACCAAAUCCUAAAAAAAUUCUAAUGAAAUCCUUAAAAAAUCCUAAAAAAAUCCUAAUCAAAUCCUAAACAAAUCAUAAUCAAAUCCUAAAUAAAUUCUAAUCAAAUCUUAAUCAAAUGAUAAUCAAAUCCUAAUCAAAUCCUAAUCAAAUCUUGACUUUCCAAAGCUCUUACAAAGUCA